CCUACGGGAGGCAGCAGUUAGGAAUUUUGGGCAAUGGGCGCAAGCCUGACCCAGCAACGCCGCGUGGGUGACGAAGGCCUUCGGGUUGUAAAGCCCUUUUCUGGGGGAAGAUGAUGACGGUACCCCAGGAAGAAGCACCGGCUAACUACGUGCCAGCAGCCGCGGUAAU
Molecule: ribosomal RNA, 169 nt
Filed under: uncultured bacterium
Lineage: Bacteria
Description: partial 16S rRNA
Rfam family: Bacterial small subunit ribosomal RNA
Source: RNAcentral